AGAAUAAACCACUUUUGCCACUGACAUGGGCAUCGCGCCCACGCCGCAGCUGUCCAUAUAAAGCAGUGAAGUGUACCAGUGUCCCAAAAGAAACCAGAUCCAGCGGGGAAACAGCAUCCACCACAUAUUCGCUAAAGAUCGCGACCGUGUCUGCUGGAGCGGCGUGGAUGCGGAGAGAUCUCCGGGUCUGGAGGUUUAGUAGUAGCGAAAGUUUAGGACCGCGCUCCGCAAAUCCCAAGUGGGAUCUAACUCCAUGAAUUACAGUGACCUGUCUGGUCCCAGGACGAAUCCCAGCCGGGUUACAGUUAUGAUCAACUUAAUUAAAAGGGGGACGGGGGGGAGUUCUCCGACAGUUGCAGUCGCUGUUCCACAGUAGACUGCGGAGACACCUGUGCGUAAGGCGCUGGCUGCCUUAACCCUUACACUGCCCUGGUCCUCCCGCAGAGACCAACACAACAGUCAGACAUCCACAGAAAUGUUGGAGAGAUAUUUUAUUUUAUUUUAUUUGUCCUUAAUCGAGUAUUAAACAAGUCCGUUAAUUCGCUUUAAUUCAGUUUUUAAAAUAAAUAAACAACUUUGAAUUUCAGCAAUAUAUAUAUAUAAUAAAUUAACAUCCCUUUGGAGAACACAUUUCACCUAAGAUCAGCUAAAAUACAGGAAUUUGGAAGAUGCAUCGUCAUCUUGGACUAAAUAAUAAAAUAAUUUUAUACGAACUAAAAAAUAGCUCUUCACUGGCACGAAGGACAAGUCUCCAGAAGAUGGCACCAAACUCACCAAACAAAAGUCUUCAGGUAGCUCCAGACUCAUGCUGUAUGAAACACACGAACAAAAAAGAACAUUAAGGGUAACACAUACUGAUUUAUGUAUACAUUAUAUAUAUUUAGUAAUUUUAAAGUAAUCCUCAACUCCCCAUAGUGUCACAUGUAUAAAAAACAAAACAAGGAAAUGCAAUGAUUUCUGUGUACCUCAAAAUGACUGUAAAUAUAUGCAAGAAUAAGCUGUAUUAUUAUUAUUUUAAAAUCAUUAAAAUUACACAGGGUUGGAAUCACAGGUGCUUUUGUUAAUGUUUUUGUAAAUUCUUCUUUUCGUUCUGUUUUUGUACCUGUAAACCUCUGCAGAGUUUCCUGACAGAUAACAACCCUGUGUUUCCCCAGGUGCCUGCUGCGACAAACCAGCUGCCGCUGCAGCAUCAUGGCUGUCUGUCAUGGAAACACAAAUAUUUUUCUUCAGAUCUGAGUUUUCCAAAUGGGGGGUUGUGACCUACAGGUGGGAUGCCUGAAUACAUUUGCCAUCAAACAAUCUCCAGUAUGAAGAAGUCCUUUCCAAUAAAGUGUGGUUUCCAAGCAACCUCUGGAAAAUGAGUCCAUGCUUCCCAAGCCGAGUCCCUGCUGAGUCCAAAGAGGCCCGGUGCUCUCCAGGCCAGGCCCUGCGGUCUCAGUCUGGUCUGUUGUCUGUGAGUUCUCUGUGAAAACACUGGUUCACAGACAAACUGAGACGUGGACUAAGAUGUUUCCAGUCUGAUGAGUUCUGACAUUUCAGACACUGCAGUCCUGGACUAGACAUGGGCAAACUACGGCUUGUGGGCCAGAUACAGCCCGCUAAGCUUUCUAAUCUGGUCUACCAAAGACUGGUAAAACAUAUGCCAAAACUGGACAGGCCCGCCAGUCAAAUGUUGACCCGUGAGCCAAGACGUUUGCCCACCCGUGCCCUAGACUGAGAAACUUAGUCAAGGCCGACAUAGUUGGUGAGUGAUUUUAUUAUAUUCAUUGUGCAGAUAUGGACAAUCGUUCUUUCUCUUUAAUAGUUUUGAUAAACAACUGAAUAAAAACAAUUGUACAAACAAGAAUACUUUCAAAGAUGAACUUUAUGAAACAAAAAUGAGUUUAUCUGAACUGAUAGCAAUUACAGGUAUAAAUGUGUGUAAUGUUGGAUUACACAACCCGCUGUUAGAAUCUUGAAUAUUGAUGCUACAUCGUCGAAGGACCAAGGCAUCGGGACACUGGUUCCCUACAGUCUAAAGACGAAAAGCGACAUUUCAUUAACAGAAAAUGUUAAUAUUCUAAAUUUAAACACAAGUUUAAUCUGACCAAAGAAUUAAAAGUGCAUCUUCUCUGGUCCAACCCAAGUCCAAAUUCUGCUGCUUUGCUCCCUCUAGUGUCUAAAUCAGCUACAGCAUGGAUUUGAAACAUUCAAAUUAUUAAUUUAAGGUGAGAAUUGACUUUGUUGAAUCUGACUGACUGAUCCGAGCUUCUCUGAGAAACCAGGCAGGAAGUGAUUUAAUGAUUUCCACCGUGCUUUAUCAAAGAACAGGUACAGAUGUCCACCACAAAAACAAUCGACUUAAACAGCGCCCAAAGUUUUUUUUAUCUACAAGUAGACAGGACGUAGA
This is a long non-coding RNA of Cynoglossus semilaevis (tongue sole), 2389 nucleotides long. RefSeq lists it as uncharacterized. Lineage: Eukaryota; Metazoa; Chordata; Actinopteri; Pleuronectiformes; Cynoglossidae. The record is from RefSeq and is a predicted model, not a curated record. The transcript has 6 exons.